UACGUAGGGGCCAAGCGUUGUCCGGAUUUAUUGGGCGUAAAGAGCUCGUAGGCGGUUCGGCAAGUCAGCUGUGAAAUCUCCACGCUCAACGUGGAGGGGUCAGCUGAUACUGCUGUGACUCGAGUCCGGUAGGGGAGUGUGGAAUUCCCGGUGUAGCGGUGAAAUGCGUAGAUAUUGGGAGGAACACCAGUAGCGAAGGCGGCACUCUGGGCCGGUACUGACGCUGAGGAGCGAAAGCGUGGGGAGCAAACAGG
RNAcentral lists this ribosomal RNA (254 nucleotides) under uncultured bacterium. RNAcentral's name for it is "partial 16S ribosomal RNA". It matches the Rfam family "Bacterial small subunit ribosomal RNA", at positions 524 to 776 of the family's 1533-position model. The record is from RNAcentral.